This 75-nucleotide transfer RNA is filed under the name Candidatus Woesebacteria bacterium RBG_16_42_24. RNAcentral describes it as "tRNA-His". It matches the Rfam family "tRNA". Rfam says of the family: Transfer RNA (tRNA) molecules are approximately 80 nucleotides in length. The record is from RNAcentral. Lineage: Bacteria; Candidatus Woeseibacteriota. RNAcentral also lists the same sequence under 1 other name.
GUGGGCGUAGCUCAAUGGCAGAGCGCGAGCUUGUGGAGCUUGAGGUUGCGGGUUCAAUCCCCGUCGCCCACCCCA